This 445-nucleotide ribosomal RNA is filed under the name uncultured bacterium. Its description in RNAcentral is "bacterial SSU rRNA". It matches the Rfam family "Bacterial small subunit ribosomal RNA", at positions 330 to 792 of the family's 1533-position model. The record is from RNAcentral.
UCCAGACUCCUACGGGAGGCAGCAGUGGGGGAUAUUGGACAAUGGGGGAAACCCUGAUCCAGCGACGCCGCGUGAGUGAAGAAGUAUUUCGGUAUGUAAAGCUCUAUCAGCAGGGAAGAAGAUGACGGUACCUGAGUAAGAAGCCCCGGCUAACUACGUGCCAGCAGCCGCGGUAAUACGUAGGGGGCAAGCGUUAUCCGGAUUUACUGGGUGUAAAGGGAGCGUAGACGAUGAGACAAGUCUGAAGUGAAAGCCCGGGGCUCAACCCCGGGACUGCUUUGGAAACUGCCUGACUGGAGUGCUGGAGAGGCAAGCGGAAUUCCUAGUGUAGCGGUGAAAUGCGUAGAUAUUAGGGAGAACACCAGUGGCGAAGGCGGCUUGCUGGACAGUAACUGACGUUGAGGCUCGAAAGCGUGGGGAGCAAACAGGAUUAGAUACCCCGGUA